Molecule: ribosomal RNA, 494 nt
Filed under: uncultured bacterium
Lineage: Bacteria
Description: bacterial SSU rRNA
Rfam family: Bacterial small subunit ribosomal RNA
Source: RNAcentral
GAUGAACGCUAGCUACAGGCUUAACACAUGCAAGUCGAGGGGAAACGACAUCGAAAGCUUGCUUUUGAUGGGCGUCGACCGGCGCACGGGUGAGUAACGCGUAUCCAACCUGCCCACCACUUGGGGAUAACCUUGCGAAAGUAAGACUAAUACCCAAUGAUAUCCCACGAAGGCAUCCGAAUGGGAUUAAAGAUUUAUCGGUGAUGGAUGGGGAUGCGUCUGAUUAGCUUGUUGGCGGGGUAACGGCCCACCAAGGCAACGAUCAGUAGGGGUUCUGAGAGGAAGGUCCCCCCACAUUGGAACUGAGACACGGUCCAAAACUCCUACGGGAGGCAGCAGUGAGGAAUAUUGGUCAAUGGGCGAGAGCCUGAACCAGCCAAGUAGCGUGCAGGAUGACGGCCCUAUGGGUUGUAAACUGCUUUUAUAAGGGAAUAAAGUGGGUCUCGUGAGACUUUUUGCAUGUACCUUAUGAAUAAGGACCGGCUAAUUCCGUG